GCAGUCGAGGGGCAACACGCCUUCGGGUGGUGGCGACCGGCGGACGGGUGCGUAACGCGUAUGCAACCUGCCUUAUGCAGGGGGAUAGCCCAUGGAAACGUGGAUUAAUACCCCAUAUUCUGUACAAAUUGCAUAUUUUAUACAGGAAAACUUCGGUGGCAUAAGAUGGGCAUGCGUCUGAUUAGCUAGUUGGCAGGGUAAUGGCCUACCAAGGCGACGAUCAGUAGGGGUCCUGAGAGGGUUACCCCCCACACUGGUACUGAGAUACGGACCAGACUCCUACGGGAGGCAGCAGUGAGGAAUAUUGGUCAAUGGGCGGAAGCCUGAACCAGCCAUCCCGCGUGCAGGAUGACGGCCCUAUGGGUUGUAAACUGCUUUUCUGGGGGAAGAAACGUUGCGACGUGUCGUGAUUUGCCGGUACCCCAGGAAUAAGCACCGGCUAACUCCGUGCCAGCAGCCGCGGUAAUACGGAGGGUGCAAGCGUUAUCCGGAUUUAUUGGGUUUAAAGGGUGCGUAGGCGGAAGGCUAAGUCAGUGGUGAAAUACUGCCGCUUAACGGUAGGGCUGCCAUUGAUACUGGUUUUCUUGAGUAUGGUUGAGGUAGGUGGAAUGUGCGGUGUAGCGGUGAAAUGCAUAGAUAUCGCCCAGAACGCCGAUUGCGGAGGCAGCUUACUAAGCCAUUACUGACGCUGAGGCACGAA
RNAcentral lists this ribosomal RNA (700 nucleotides) under uncultured Bacteroidota bacterium. Its description in RNAcentral is "bacterial SSU rRNA". It matches the Rfam family "Bacterial small subunit ribosomal RNA", at positions 57 to 757 of the family's 1533-position model. Lineage: Bacteria; Pseudomonadati; Bacteroidota. The record is from RNAcentral.